UGGAUAUGUGACGUGACCGCAUGGUCUGCGUCUGGAAAGAAUUUCGGUUGGGGAUGGGCUCGCGGCCUAUCAGCUUGUUGGUGAGGUAAUGGCUCACCAAGGCGUCGACGGGUAGCCGGCCUGAGAGGGUGACCGGCCACACUGGGACUGAGACACGGCCCAGACUCCUACGGGAGGCAGCAGUGGGGAAUAUUGCACAAUGGGCGCAAGCCUGAUGCAGCAACGCCGCGUGAGGGACGACGGCCUUCGGGUUGUAAACCUCUUUUAGCAGGGAAGAAGCGAAAGUGACGGUACCUGCAGAAAAAGCGCCGGCUAACUACGUGCCAGCAGCCGCGGUAAUACGUAGGGCGCAAGCGUUAUCCGGAAUUAUUGGGCGUAAAGAGCUCGUAGGCGGUUUGUCGCGUCUGCUGUGAAAUCCGGAGGCUCAACCUCCGGCCUGCAGUGGGUACGGGCAGACUAGAGUGCGGUAGGGGAGAUUGGAAUUCCUGGUGUAGCGGUGGAAUGCGCAGAUAUCAGGAGGAACACCGAUGGCGAAGGCAGAUCUCUGGGCCGUAACUGACGCUGAGGAGCGAAAGGGUGGGGAGCAAACAGGCUUAGAUACCCUGGUAGUCCACCCCGUAAACGUUGGGAACUAGUUG
RNAcentral lists this ribosomal RNA (638 nucleotides) under Microbacterium sp. RNAcentral describes it as "bacterial SSU rRNA". It matches the Rfam family "Bacterial small subunit ribosomal RNA", at positions 170 to 822 of the family's 1533-position model. Lineage: Bacteria; Bacillati; Actinomycetota; Actinomycetes; Micrococcales; Microbacteriaceae. The record is from RNAcentral.